ACAUUAGGGAGGCAUUUGUGAAUCUACAGUAUUUCCUGUUAUCAGUAAGUGCCUGUUCUUCCUCAAAUGGAACAACGUUGUCAGGCUGGUUCACUUAGCUUUAAUCUCAUCACUGCACUGAAAGCAGCAAACUGAUUGCAAGAUGAAGGGGAAGAGAGGCAUAAACACAAAGUCCAGUGCAUGCAACACACAGAAGACUUGUUUCUUUCCCGGUUGCAACAAACAAAGAAGGUCUCCCAAGAUACAGAAGCAUGCUCCUACUGCUAAGGACAACUUUUGAAAGGACGAAAGGCUGGAUGAAGUUGUAAACAAAAAAACUCAAAUAAUAAGAGGAAAAAUGAAGGGUAAUUAUUGGGUGAGAAUAACAAGACAAGGCCAGGCUGUGCAUGAAUCUUGUUGCUAUUCUUUUUAAAAUGCUAUUUGCAUUUUAUUUGUAAAUGCUUUCCACAUGAUCCUGGAAGCCCAGAAGCAGAAGCACUUGCCCAAAUGACUUAAGUCUGAACUAGUCUAGGCAGCUGCCAUCUCCCUGUGAGUCCCAGGAGAGUGGUGUCAGCAUGUGGGUCCUUACCUGGUGGCGGUAGUUGUACCAGCCAUUGGAACCUGCAACAAUCACCACCCAGUGCUUGCCUCCAUCUUCAGGCUCUUCCAGGGGGAACGUGCUGAUGCCCAGAGUGCAGCUCAGCAGUACAACUGCUUCCAAUAUCAUCUUUCUUCUUUAUUUAUU
Long non-coding RNA from Gallus gallus (chicken), 724 nucleotides. RefSeq lists it as uncharacterized. Lineage: Eukaryota; Metazoa; Chordata; Aves; Galliformes; Phasianidae. The record is from RefSeq and is a predicted model, not a curated record. The transcript is spliced from 3 exons.